Molecule: transfer RNA, 27 nt
Filed under: Saponaria officinalis (common soapwort)
Lineage: Eukaryota; Viridiplantae; Streptophyta; Magnoliopsida; Caryophyllales; Caryophyllaceae
Description: partial tRNA-Ser
Source: RNAcentral
CGCUUUUGUCCACUCAGCCAUCUCUCC